Long non-coding RNA from Hibiscus syriacus, 263 nucleotides. RefSeq lists it as uncharacterized. The record is from RefSeq and is a predicted model, not a curated record. NCBI's taxonomy places the organism in Eukaryota, Viridiplantae, Streptophyta, Magnoliopsida, Malvales, Malvaceae. The transcript is spliced from 2 exons.
UUGCAUGUAUGUGCCGUGUGGAACAGGCGCUUCAUGAGGCUUUGAUGAGGCAGGAAGAACUUCUUGCUUACAUAGACAGUCAAGAGGAAGCCAGACUUCGGAAAAAGAAGUUUGCUGGUGAUAAUGCCUUUUCCCAUGGAGAGCCGCUAUAAAUCCCACUUAGUGUUCUGCCUUCAUUUCUAUUUAUACAAUUCUCUCAAAAUUGAAUACAAUCUUCUUUUUUAAGUUAAUUAAAUAUAAUCUUGUUUUGGAUUUCCAUGUAA